Long non-coding RNA from Protobothrops mucrosquamatus (brown spotted pit viper), 98 nucleotides. RefSeq lists it as uncharacterized. Lineage: Eukaryota; Metazoa; Chordata; Lepidosauria; Squamata; Viperidae. The transcript is spliced from 2 exons. The record is from RefSeq and is a predicted model, not a curated record.
AGCCGUUCGAUUUCCGGGGUUGGACUGCGAGGAAGGCAGGAUGGGUCAGAGUCAGAGUGGUGGACAUGGACCUGGAGGAGGCAAGAAAGAUGACAAAG